This 223-nucleotide ribosomal RNA is filed under the name uncultured bacterium. Its description in RNAcentral is "partial 16S ribosomal RNA". It matches the Rfam family "Bacterial small subunit ribosomal RNA", at positions 328 to 539 of the family's 1533-position model. The record is from RNAcentral.
ACGCUCGACACCUACGGGAGGCAGCAGUAGGGAAUCUUCCACGAUGGACGCAAGUCUGAUGGAGCAACGCCGCGUGAGUGAAGAAGGUUUUCGGAUCGUAAAGCUCUGUUGUUGGUGAAGAAGGAUAGAGGUAGUAACUGGCCUUUAUUUGACGGUAAUCAACCAGAAAGUCACGGCUAACUACGUGCCAGCAGCCACGGUAAUCUGAGCGGGCUGGCAAGGC